AUUAGAUACCCUGGUAGUCCACGCCCUAAACGAUGUUAACUAGUUGUUGGGAAGUAAUAUUCUCAGUAACGCAGCCAACGCGAGAAGUUAACCGCCUGGGAAGUACGGUCGCAAGACUAAAACUCAAAGGAAUUGACGGGGACCCGCACAAGCGGUGGAUGAUGUGGAUUAAUUCGAUGCAACGCGAAAAACCUUACCUACCCUUGACAUGUCAGGAAGCUCUUGUAAUGAGAGUGUGCCCGCAAGGGAGCCUGAACACAGGUGCUGCAUGGCUGUCGUCAGCUCGUGUCGUGAGGUGUUGGGUUAAGUCCCGCAACGAGCGCAACCCUUGUCACUAGUUGCUACGAAAGGGCACUCUAGUGAGACUGCCGGUGACAAACCGGAGGAAGGUGGGGAUGACGUCAAGUCCUCAUGGCCCUUAUGGGUAGGGCUUCACACGUCAUACAAUGGUCGGAACAGAGGGCAGCGAAGUCGUGAGACGGAGCCAAUCCCAGAAAACCGAUCGUAGUCCGGAUUGCAGUCUGCAACUCGACUGCAUGAAGUCGGAAUCGCUAGUAAUCGCGGAUCAGCAUGCCGCGGUGAAUACGUUCCCGGGUCUUGUACACACCGCCCGUCAAACAAUGGGAGUGGUGUUUACCAGAAGUCGUUAGCCUAACCGCAAGGAGGGCGGCGACCACGGUGAGCACCGUGACUAAUGUUAAGUCGUAACAAGGUAACAAGGGCGAA
RNAcentral lists this ribosomal RNA (726 nucleotides) under uncultured bacterium. RNAcentral's name for it is "bacterial SSU rRNA". It matches the Rfam family "Bacterial small subunit ribosomal RNA", at positions 777 to 1509 of the family's 1533-position model. The record is from RNAcentral.